RNAcentral lists this long non-coding RNA (238 nucleotides) under Elaeis guineensis (African oil palm). RNAcentral describes it as "long non-coding RNA (EGUI_LNC081980)". The record is from RNAcentral. Lineage: Eukaryota; Viridiplantae; Streptophyta; Magnoliopsida; Arecales; Arecaceae.
GGACUCUAUUUCGAAUUUUAUGGCUUCAAGCCAUUUCUCAGAGUUGGGCCUCUGCAUUGCAUCCAUAUAGGUGACUGGAUCCUCGUUGUUCUCAUUGAGCUCAACAAGAUCCCCAUCCCGGAUCAAGAAACCUAGGUAUCUAUCUGGCUGAUGCAGUACUCUAUCAGAUUGCCUUAAGGAUGUUUGUAUAUUGGGCUUCGGGUUUGAUCUUAUCAAAUCUGACUCAGAUUCAGUCACU